RNAcentral lists this ribosomal RNA (361 nucleotides) under uncultured fungus. RNAcentral's name for it is "eukaryotic LSU rRNA". It matches the Rfam family "Eukaryotic large subunit ribosomal RNA", at positions 40 to 398 of the family's 3401-position model. Lineage: Eukaryota; Fungi. The record is from RNAcentral.
AUAUCAAUAAGCGGAGGAAAAGAAACCAACAGGGAUUGCCCCAGUAACGGCGAGUGAAGCGGCAAUAGCUCAAAUUUGAAAUCUGGCCCUUUCAGGGUCCGAGUUGUAAUUUGCAGAGGGCGCUUUGGUGUCGGCAGCAGCCUAAGUUCCUUGGAACAGGUCAUCAUAGAGGGUGAGAAUCCCGUAUGUGGCUGCUUGUCUUCACCGUGUAAAGCCCCUUCGAUGAGUCGAGUUGUUUGGGAAUGCAGCUCUAAAUGGGAGGUAAAUUUCUUCUAAAGCUAAAUAUUGGCCAGAGACCGAUAGCGCACAAGUAGAGUGAUCGAAAGAUGAAAAGCACUUUGGAAAGAGAGUCAAAAAGCAC